AAAGAAAUAUCAAUUAAGCAAGAUUAAAGUACUGAAGAUUUUAACAAAAUACACAAUAUAAUCUCACUAGGACCCGGAGUCAUGAAUCUGAGCCUCUACAAUACAGAAUAUCAUCCUAAUACACGGUAUAUCCAAAGUCCGAUAAUGCGAAAAUAAAGAGAUAGGAUAGGAGGGAGAAAAUCAAUGUCUGCGAACGCCGUGCAGCUACCUCGAUACUCCCAGAGGCUGGAUCUGCUGAUCAACUAGAUCUACUGAGCCUGAGACUGCCCUAGAUCUGCACACAAGGUGCAAGGAGUAAAGUGAGUACUCCGACCCAGUGAGUAAUAAAAGUAACUACAGUCCGAAGAUAAGAAAAUCCAGUAAAUACACAAAGUAAGCUACAAUCCGAAUAUACAGCAACAUAUGGAACUGAGCAGCUAAACACCAGUAUAAAUACAAAUACAUGAAUGCAAUGCAAUGCAUAUGAUGGUACAUUCCAGUACCCACUGCGGCGUGCAGCCCGAGCCAUCAAUAUUUAUUUAUCGUCGACGGCGCUCACUGGGGGUGUGUACAGACUCCGGAGGGGCUCCUACAGCCCAAGCGCAAUAUCUUGGUCAGUCACUGUUACCUGACCGGUCAGCCAUUGUUACCUGACCAAUUUAUAUCAUACAGUGCCAUUGUUACCACUGUUCAAGUAUAUUAUCCAGUGUCAUUGUUACCACUAUUUCAAGUAUAUCACACAGUGUCAUUGUUACCACUGUUUCAAGUAUAUCACAUAGUGUCAUUGUUACCACUGUUUCAAAUAUAUUACACAGUGUCAUUGUUACCACUGUUUCAAGUCACUUUAUAAUCAGUCCAGAAAAUAAUAUAAUAAGCCCCUUGGGCACUUACAAAACAGAAGUUCCCAGCCCGGAAUACAUUUAAAAAUAUCAUUUAAGUUUGCAAAACAAUAUUUAAAACCUUGGACUGAAAUUAAAUGAUAUGCAAAUCAUGCUAAGCAGUAAUAUCAAUCCUCGAAGGAUUUUACAAAUCGGCACAAGGCCUCAAACAUGGCAUAAAGCCCAGUAAUAUCAAUGAAGUAUGUGUAUCAAUCACCAGUAUAGUAUAAACAUCACACGGGAUGGACCAAGUAACAAUCCCCAAUAGUAUCCGACCCCGCACUCGCCAUGGAGUGCAUGUCAUGCCUCAAUAUAGUGAUACGAUGUGAAAGUCCGGGGUUUCAAACUCUCAGAACAACAUUUACAUCUAUUACUCACCUCAAGAUGGCCAAAAGUCUACUACGCGAUGCCCUUUCCUUUCGAAUCGACCUCCUCGCGCGUCGAAUCUU
Molecule: long non-coding RNA, 1306 nt
Filed under: Nicotiana tabacum (common tobacco)
Lineage: Eukaryota; Viridiplantae; Streptophyta; Magnoliopsida; Solanales; Solanaceae
Description: long non-coding RNA (NTAB_LNC009243)
Source: RNAcentral